This 1581-nucleotide ribosomal RNA is filed under the name Triticum aestivum (bread wheat). Its description in RNAcentral is "partial small subunit ribosomal RNA". The record is from RNAcentral. Lineage: Eukaryota; Viridiplantae; Streptophyta; Magnoliopsida; Poales; Poaceae.
AUGAAGAAGGCCUUAGAAAAGGUGCAUCUUGCUGAUGAGGUAAAGGAGGAGGAGGAGGCUGUGGUGGUCAGGGAUGGCACGCCGAAGGCUGAUGCUGGCCGAGAUGAACGAGAUGUUGGCCAAGAAGAGGCAUAUUUAGCAGUGGUGGUUGAUCCAUUGUGCGCCAAAAAAUUACCAAAUCCAUCAGCAAACAGGAUUAUGCGGUUUGAGUCUACGAUUUGGAAGGAGAGAAACAAUUGGUUCUGCUCUCUCGAGAAAUCUGUGAAUGAGCAUUCUGUAGCUGCACACCAAGUGACUGGUUCAAAUAACGAGCAAGAAUGUCAGACCCAUUUAAAGGUUGUUGCUUUUCUUCCUCCUCCGCCGCCUCUAGGGUUUCUUUCCCCGAUCCACUCCUUCCUUGCCGCCGCCACCUCCGGCGCUCGAUCCUGGCGACCUCAGGCGGGAAUCGAAGACCCAUGUCCGGCGAGAUCCGGCGCGCGCCCGAGCCCAAGCGAUGAGGUGGUCCUAAUCGUGCACGGGGACGCAGCGGGGGACCCGACGGUGGUCACCGUCAGCUGCGCGGACAAGACCGGCCUGGGCUGCGACCUCUGCCGCCUCGUCGUCCUCUUCGGCCUUAACGUCCACAAGGGCGACAUGAGCACCGACGGCCGCUGGUGCUACAUCGUGCUCUGGUUCGCCGCCUCGUGCCGGGGCCGGGCCGUGGACUGGGACGUCCUCAAGGAGCGGCUGGUGGAGCUUCGUCCGCACCGCGCUGGAGCAGACCCGCCUCUUAGGUUUCUCUUGUUUCCGCAAAGGACGUUUAUUAUUAAGGCGGUGGUGGAGGUUCCCUGCCCUCAAAGCCCACGCCCAGCCGAUCUGCCCCUAGACUUCGCCGCCAGCCCCAAGGCCGACGAGGAUGACAUCAAAGCCCACGCCCCGAAAGCGUCCAUGGGCGGGAGCAGCACCGCCUCCGCCCUCGUGGAGACUUGUGCAGAGGGGUCGAGGGCACCGCCGCCCACCGCUGAGGCCCGAUGCCUCAAUCCCCGCGAGCCAUCAGCCCGUGACCGCCGCACCGAGGCGCGCCGCGCGCCCCUGCCGGCGCCUGGAGCCGCGCCUAGGACCGGUGAGGCGCUGACGACCAGCAUCAAGCCGCCAACCGCCGUGCCCCAUCCGUCGCGCCGCGCUGCCAACCUCGACCCUCCCCCAUCGCUUCACCUUUCUCACCACCUCGUCCUCUUCCACGUUGGUCGCCGGCUCGGUGCCUACUGUCCUCUUCCCAUGCUCCACCUCACAACUCAAGGCGGUGGUGGAGGUUCCCCGCCCUCAAAACUCCGCCCAGUCGUUCUGCCCCUAGACUUCGCCGCCAGCCCUGAGGCCGACCAGGACGUCAAAGCCCACGCCCCAGCAGCGUCCAUGGACGGGAGCAGCACCGCCUCCGCCCUCUUGGAGACAGGGCCAGAGGGGUCGAGGGCAGUAAGUACUAGGCGAAUCUCUGAUGGCGACUAUGGUACAUGCCAUCCAAGCAUGUCAGUUAGAUUUAGAUUUUCUGAUUGCAGUCUCACAGUAUUGGUACUGGAGCAACAUUUCCAGUUUUUGGAGUAG